Molecule: long non-coding RNA, 367 nt
Filed under: Triticum aestivum (bread wheat)
Lineage: Eukaryota; Viridiplantae; Streptophyta; Magnoliopsida; Poales; Poaceae
Description: long non-coding RNA (TAES_LNC000205)
Source: RNAcentral
GAAUUGAAGACCGACCAACAGAGCCUGCAAUGCAAACAGAGAGGCAUGAGGAAACUGAAUCCAAUCACAUCAAAUCAAAUCGAGCUGCUGCACCUUGACCUUGAGGAAAACAAACCUCAUCUCAUGUCAUCUCAGGGAAGAAUAAGAAGAAGAAAAAUAUAUGGCUGCUGCUCCAUGACCAUGACCUUGAAUUGUUGCUGCUGCACCAGAUCGAGGAAGAAGAAGACCUGCAAAAAAAGCAAUAACUAGCAAUGCACAAGCAUGAAUUCAUGGAAGGACGGAUGCAAGGCCAAACAUCCAGCAUACUGUUUCUUAAUGCCCCAACUACUUAAAAAACCAUGGUAGUUCUAACCAUAUUAAAUUAAAG